Molecule: long non-coding RNA, 489 nt
Filed under: Androctonus crassicauda
Lineage: Eukaryota; Metazoa; Arthropoda; Arachnida; Scorpiones; Buthidae
Source: RNAcentral
AGGCGUUUUGUCGGAGUGGAGUGUCGUGGUUCUUGCUAUUGGUGCUUGUUUUAUAAGUGAAAGUUGAUAUAAGUGAAGUUAUAUAAAUAAGUGUUUACAUCAUUAUCAUCAUGCUCAUAUUCUUGUAAUGGGAUGGACAGUACUCAGAGAAGAAAGAAAAAGAGAGAAGAGGGGGAAAAACAUUCAAAUAUUACUAAUCAGAUGAUGCCAUACUUCCCUAUCUCUACAUACUAUAUCAGCUUCCUCUACAGUUAUUCUUUUCUUCAUAAACAUGCAUCUCUUAUACAGACUCUAACAUCCAUAUGUCACAAAUCCAUUUAUUCUUUCCACUCUAUCCUUGGCCUUCCUUCCCAUAUUUAUCCUCCAAAGCAAGUACAUUCAUCAUAUACUUGCUUUGUUACUUGCUCCUUCCUUAUUUGUUCCACCUGACCAAACUGUCUCAAAAUUGGCUUAUAUACUACCUCUAUCACACUGCUUUUCACUUUGCAC